GCUGGGAUAGCGAAGCGGUCAAACGCGCCUGACUGUAAAUCAGGUGGUCCACACCUUCGUAGGUUCGAAUCCUACUCCCAGCACCA
Molecule: transfer RNA, 86 nt
Filed under: bacterium ADurb.Bin400
Lineage: Bacteria
Description: tRNA-Tyr
Rfam family: tRNA
About the family: Transfer RNA (tRNA) molecules are approximately 80 nucleotides in length. Their secondary structure includes four short double-helical elements and three loops (D, anti-codon, and T loops).
Source: RNAcentral